GUUCGGGAGCUUGUCAUUGGGACGGCAGGCAUGAAUGGAACCCUCCCCCUGUUUCGCAAGCGGCGUGCUGCCGAAGCCCCGGCGGCUGGCGC
RNAcentral lists this non-coding RNA (92 nucleotides) under uncultured Acidimangrovimonas sp. RNAcentral's name for it is "Rhodo-rpoB RNA". It matches the Rfam family "Rhodo-rpoB RNA". Lineage: Bacteria; Pseudomonadati; Pseudomonadota; Alphaproteobacteria; Rhodobacterales; Paracoccaceae. The record is from RNAcentral.